CAUGUCUAAGACAGAGUCUCUUAAGUAGUCCCAACAGCUGUAGAAGUUCUUCAUCAGAGAGUUGAGCUUUGAAAUGACCAGUGAGGGUCCAAUGAGCCAUUCUGAGCAACAGGGAGCACUCACAGACUGUGGUAAUGAGAGAUCCAAAUACCAAGUGCUCCAGGGGCUUUGGGUUUGUCACAUAUGCCACUGUGGAGGAGGUGGAUGCAGCCGUGAAUGCAAGGCUACAUAAGGUGGACAGAAGAGCUGUAUCAAGAGAAGAUUCUCAAAGACCACAUGCCCACUUAACUAUGAAAAGGAUAUUUGUUGGGGGCUUUAAAAAAGAGAAAUACCAUACUGUGAAUGGCCACAACUAUGAAGUUAGGGAUGCCCUGUCGAAGAAAGAGAUGGCUAGUGUUUCAUCUAGCCAAAGAGGUCGAAAUGGUUCUGGAAACUCUGGUGAUGGUCGUGGAGGUGGUUUUGGUGGGAAUGACAACUUUGGUCAUGGAGGAGAAACUUCAGUGGUUGUGGUGACUUUGGUAGCAGCCAUGCUGGUGGUGAUCUGGUAGCAACAGGGAUGGCUAUAAUGGAUUUGGUAACAACAGUGGUUAUAGAGGGGCAGCCCUGGUUACGCUGAAGGAAGCAGAGGCUAUGGAAGUGGAGGCAGGAUUAUGGAAAUCAGGGCAGUGGCUACAGCAGGAGUGUCAGCUCUCACAGCUAUAACAACGAUGGAGGCAGAAGCAGCUUUGUUGGUGGCAGUGAAAGCAAUUUUGGAGGUGGUGGAAGCUACAAUAAUUUUGGCAAUUAUAACAAUCAGUCCUCAAAUUUUGGAUGCACGAAAGGAGGAAACUUUGGAGGCAGAAGCUCUG
This 848-nucleotide long non-coding RNA is filed under the name Homo sapiens (human). RNAcentral's name for it is "non-protein coding lnc-RHOG-4:1". Lineage: Eukaryota; Metazoa; Chordata; Mammalia; Primates; Hominidae. The record is from RNAcentral.